RNAcentral lists this ribosomal RNA (254 nucleotides) under uncultured bacterium. RNAcentral describes it as "partial 16S ribosomal RNA". It matches the Rfam family "Bacterial small subunit ribosomal RNA", at positions 524 to 776 of the family's 1533-position model. The record is from RNAcentral.
UACAGAGGUCCCAAGCGUUGUUCGGAUUCACUGGGCGUAAAGGGCGCGUAGGCGGCCCGCACAAGUCUGCGGUGAAAACCCCCGGCUUAACCGGGGGCCGGCCGUGGAAACUGUCGGGCUGGAGGCUGGGAGAGGGCAGCGGAAUUCCCGGUGUAGCGGUGAAAUGCGUAGAGAUCGGGAGGAACACCGGCGGCGAAGGCGGCUGCCUGGACCAGUCCUGACGCUGAGGCGCGAAAGCUAGGGGAGCAAACAGG